RNAcentral lists this long non-coding RNA (3020 nucleotides) under Aquilegia coerulea. Its description in RNAcentral is "long non-coding RNA (ACOE_LNC001174)". Lineage: Eukaryota; Viridiplantae; Streptophyta; Magnoliopsida; Ranunculales; Ranunculaceae. The record is from RNAcentral.
GGAGAAAACAAAAGGCUGGUGGCAGUAAGAAAAUUAUCUGUUCCAACAUCUUGACAGUUGAUACAAUCAAUAUCCAAAAUGCCAUCAAGUUCUAGUUUACUACAUAGUUAACAGCUAGUAUUUAAAACCUCUGCAUCACAAACUUCAACCUGUUGAUAUUCACAGAAAUUUGGACAAAUCUUUCUACAGAUCACAAAACAACAAAAUUUCAAUGCCGUACUUUUAGUUCCUUCUAACAAAUAACAUCAACCCAAAUCUGAUCCAUAAGCUUGAUUACGAUUCCACUCAGACUACUAUCAAUUAGUAUAUACUAACACCAUAAAUCUUGACAAGGCCGCAAUCCUACAGAUGACAAUAUAUUUUUAACAUAACAAAUAGUUAGACAAAAUAUAAGAGAAAAAUAAGGAUGUAAUCUUUAAGAAUGAGGAGUCUAGGACAAUAUAUUUACUAUACAGUACUAAUACACAACACACCAUAUAUAUUCACAACAAUAAAAUAUACAUGCUAUUCCAAAUUCACCAACAGUUCUUAGUCCACACAUUUGUCCUUCACAGAAAAAUACCGAGUACUCUGCUUUACAACAGACUAGUACAUGGACAUCAAAACCACAAUGAGUCCAUAAUAUAGUCGGCUUCAAGUGGGAUUUAUAGAUCAAACAAAAAUCAGAAAGGUAGUAUAAAGCAAGGUUAGUGGCAAAGGGAUAUCAUCAGCAUUAUGGUACUGACUACAAAGAAACUUACAGUCCAGUGGUUUGUUUUUAAUCUUGCAGUGACAUAGAACUGGGUCAUUAAACAGCUUGAUGUGGCAUUUCUUCAUGGUACAAUUAAUGAAGAUGUCUACAUGUCCCAGCCACCAGGUUUUAUGAAUCCAUACUACCCUGAUUUCGUUUGUAAACUCAAUAAAUUUCUUUAUGGUCUUCAUCAAGCACCUCAGGCGUGGUAUGAUGUUCUUGCUCACUCUAUCCUAGAAGUCGGUUAUCAGUUUUCUAAAGCUGAUAACUCCUUAUUCAUUCAAAAAGAUGGUCAUAUUAUCACAUAUGUUCUAGUUUAUGUCGACGGCAUUUUCAUCACUACUAAAUACUAAUAAUCCAUCACAUUGUCAAAUUAUCAUUUCUGAACUAAGCAAGUCUUUGGCAAUGAAAGAGUUUGAUCCUAUACACUAUUUACUUGGUCUAGAAGCUGUCUGCGCUUCAUUUUAUUUCUUUCUCAAACCAAAAUACAAUACACUCUUGAUCUCUUAAAGAGAUUCAACAUGGAUGGCGCCAAACCCAGGGCCCCUCAUUUACAACUGGUAAGGGUCAAUGCCACAACAAACUAAGGAGAAAAAGACCGGAAAUACUGAAAAAGCAGUGAAAUUGAGAAACCCAUGUCCAUUAAAAUAGACUACCGUACAAUAUACAUAAAAAUUAUUAUGACAAGAAGCGUAACCUUUAGGCAUGAUGAUUGGGCAUAAAACUGCAUCUGACAGCCACAACUUCGCCAUUGACUGCUUUCAGGUGGUCAUAAACCACAUGUACAGCUGAAAAAGAAUGGAAAAUUUAUUAAACGCAUAUAUUAAUAACAAAAUGAAAACACAAUAAAAUCAAUUUUUACCUAAUAUUUUAAAUCUCCGAAAGUGGUGCCUUAUGACAACACCAUUUGAAAGAAUCAAAGUCCCUGCCCAAGAAAAACCAUAAAAUACAUACUCAGGUAAAAAGGGGGAAGUACCAAUUACUUUAUAAUACACAGACAUUUCCAACAAUUUUUGCUAUGGACAUUAGAUCGUUGACAAAGGGCAAAAUAAAAAAAUUGGCAGAUAAUAUCGUAUCAAAAAUGUAUAUUUUGUUGAUAAUACAGAAAAGAGGAAACACAUAUAAUCAUAUCCAUUGUUGAUAAGCAAUAUGUAAGAAACACUAAGAAACAUAUAUAUAUAGUAAUACUACUAGGGAUGAGAGAUUACCAAUGUCUCUUUGUUCUCCAAGACUAUAUAUUCCGCAAAAAGCAUUGGCAAAAUCACCUAGUAUCCAUGACCUAUUAUUUGGUAGAAUUUCCCAUUCAAUGGUCCAAUCCAAAUAAGCAUCAUAAUCAUUACUUAAAAAAAAGUCUGCUUGGUGUACUUCCAACUCCACUUGCCUCCCUUCCACACAUAGCUUCUCAACAGUUUUAUUUACAAAACAAGAAUUACAACCACACAAACGCCUGCAAGAUAUCCAUAUCCAACUCCGAAUGUUGUCUACAUGGAAAUAGUCGUUAUUCUGUUGGAAAGAAUCAUUUCUUGCAACCACUAAACAAUCAUUCCGACCAACCCAAAAUCCAUUGAUGAUCUCAUACUCGAAAACAUGAUAAACAUCAUCAACAUCAACCUUAAAUAAUUUAGUUUUCCCAAAAAUUGAUUUAUACAAAUUUCUCCAUGGAUGUUGAUGUUGGUCAUUAUCUGGAUUAUUUGGUUCAUAAUCACUCGGAACAAUACCAUUGUUUAAAUUUAAUACUAAUGUCCUCCAAACAUAAGCUGACCUUGCAAUUGUGGCAUGAUAUUGGCUACAAAGGGCAACAUUAGCCACUGACUGAGCAUCCAAAAAACACAUGAUAUAUUUCCAAACCAAAUUUAUCCUACAGAAAAGAAAAUCCACAAGAAACAAUUAGUUAUUUCAUUUGGGUGUUUGUGUGUGUUUCAUUCUUGAUAAAAGAGAAAGAAAUGUACAUUUUGUUUUGUUGUGUUGUGUUGUGUUGUGUUAUUAGAACAAGGUUUAUAGAGAAACUACUUACUCAUCAAGAGGUUCACUAUGACGAAGACGGGUAUCUUGUUGAAACUCCAUUUGCGAAACCCUAGCUUUUCGAUCGAUUUCUCUCUUCUUCUUCUUCUUCUUCUUCUUGUGUUCUUCUUUCUUCCUUUUUCUUUCUUGAUUUUUUAGCUUUCUUUCCUACUACUACUACUACUACUACUACUCAAAACACACAAAGUUGCUUUCUUCUUUCUUGAUUGUUCGUGUCGUUUCGGAUUUUAAAGACUAGACCGAAAACCGGUUUGGGUAGACAGGGGCA